GGGAGCGGAUGGGAGCCUGGUGGCCUCCGCGGAUUUCAAAUCCGUUGCGGUGUCGGGAGACCGGCGCUGGGUGGGUUCGAUUCCCACACGUUCCCGCCA
Molecule: transfer RNA, 99 nt
Filed under: Gemmatimonadota bacterium
Lineage: Bacteria; Pseudomonadati; Gemmatimonadota
Also listed under: 1 other name
Description: Gemmatimonadetes bacterium tRNA-Sec
Rfam family: Selenocysteine transfer RNA
Source: RNAcentral